AGCGAACGCUGGCGGCAUGCUUAACACAUGCAAGUCGCGCGGUCAGUAAUGGCAGCGGCGGACGGGUGAGUAACACGUAGGAAUCUAUCCCAGGGUGGGGGACAACAGCGGGAAACUGCUGCUAAUACCGCAUGAUACCUGAGGGUCAAAGGCGCAAGUCGCCUUGGGAGGAGCCUGCGUCUGAUUAGCUUGUUGGUGGGGUAAAGCCUACCAAGGCGACGAUCAGUAGCUGGUCUGAGAGGAUGAUCAGCCACAUUGGGACUGAGACACGGCCCAA
Molecule: ribosomal RNA, 277 nt
Filed under: uncultured bacterium
Lineage: Bacteria
Description: partial 16S ribosomal RNA
Rfam family: Bacterial small subunit ribosomal RNA
Source: RNAcentral